GAUGAACGCUGGCGGCGUGCCUAGUACAUGCAAGUCGAGCGAACAGACGAGGAGCUUGCUCCUCUGACGUUAGCGGCGGACGGGGGAGUAACACGUGGAUAACCUACCUAUAAGACUGGGAUAACUUCGGGAAACCGGAGCUAAUACCGGAUAAUAUAUUGAACCGCAUGGUUCAAUAUUGAAAACCGGUUUUGCUGUAACUUAUAGAUGGAUCCGCGCCGCAUUAGCUAGUUGGUAAGGUAACGGCUUACCAAGGCAACGAUGCGUAGCCGACCUGAGAGGGUGAUCGGCCACACUGGAACUGAGACACGGUCCAGACUCCUACGGGAGGCAGCAGUAGGGAAUCUUCCGCAAUGGGCGAAAGCCUGACGGAGCAACGCCGCGUGAGUGAUGAAGGUCUUCGGAUCGUAAAACUCUGUUAUUAGGGAAGAACAAAUGUGUAAGUAACUAUGCACGUCUUGACGGUACCUAAUCAGAAAGCCACGGCUAACUACGUG
This 497-nucleotide ribosomal RNA is filed under the name uncultured bacterium. RNAcentral describes it as "partial 16S ribosomal RNA". It matches the Rfam family "Bacterial small subunit ribosomal RNA", at positions 28 to 507 of the family's 1533-position model. The record is from RNAcentral.